This 71-nucleotide transfer RNA is filed under the name Marmota monax (woodchuck). Its description in RNAcentral is "tRNA.Ser". It matches the Rfam family "tRNA". Rfam says of the family: Transfer RNA (tRNA) molecules are approximately 80 nucleotides in length. The record is from RNAcentral. Lineage: Eukaryota; Metazoa; Chordata; Mammalia; Rodentia; Sciuridae.
GGGGUUGUGGCUUAGCGGUAGAGCACUCACCUACUGUGUGUGAGGCCCUGGGUUUGAUCCUCAGUACCACA